This 770-nucleotide ribosomal RNA is filed under the name Streptococcus sp. HGH0347. Its description in RNAcentral is "bacterial SSU rRNA". It matches the Rfam family "Bacterial small subunit ribosomal RNA", at positions 60 to 817 of the family's 1533-position model. Lineage: Bacteria; Bacillati; Bacillota; Bacilli; Lactobacillales; Streptococcaceae. The record is from RNAcentral.
AGUUUAUACCGUAGCUUGCUACACCAUAGACUGUGAGUUGCGAACGGGUGAGUAACGCGUAGGUAACCUGCCUAUUAGAGGGGGAUAACUAUUGGAAACGAUAGCUAAUACCGCAUAACAGUAUGUAACACAUGUUAGAUGCUUGAAAGAUGCAAUUGCAUCGCUAGUAGAUGGACCUGCGUUGUAUUAGCUAGUAGGUAGGGUAAUGGCCUACCUAGGCGACGAUACAUAGCCGACCUGAGAGGGUGAUCGGCCACACUGGGACUGAGACACGGCCCAGACUCCUACGGGAGGCAGCAGUAGGGAAUCUUCGGCAAUGGGGGGAACCCUGACCGAGCAACGCCGCGUGAGUGAAGAAGGUUUUCGGAUCGUAAAGCUCUGUUGUUAAGGAAGAACGAGUGUGAGAAUGGAAAGUUCAUACUGUGACGGUACUUAACCAGAAAGGGACGGCUAACUACGUGCCAGCAGCCGCGGUAAUACGUAGGUCCCGAGCGUUGUCCGGAUUUAUUGGGCGUAAAGCGAGCGCAGGCGGUUAGAAAAGUCUGAAGUGAAAGGCAGUGGCUCAACCAUUGUAGGCUUUGGAAACUGUUUAACUUGAGUGCAGAAGGGGAGAGUGGAAUUCCAUGUGUAGCGGUGAAAUGCGUAGAUAUAUGGAGGAACACCGGUGGCGAAAGCGGCUCUCUGGUCUGUAACUGACGCUGAGGCUCGAAAGCGUGGGGAGCGAACAGGAUUAGAUACCCUGGUAGUCCACGCCCGUAACGAUGAGUGCU